GAAAGCCGUAUGCGGGAAAACCGCAUACACGGUUUUAGGAGGGAGGGCAGGCGGAAGUCUUUUCUCUACUCUAC
Molecule: non-coding RNA, 74 nt
Organism: Nitrosospira sp. Nsp11
Lineage: Bacteria; Pseudomonadati; Pseudomonadota; Betaproteobacteria; Nitrosomonadales; Nitrosomonadaceae
Source: Rfam